AUGCAAGUCGAACGGAUCCUUCGGGAUUAGUGGCAGACGGGUGAGUAACGCGUGGGAAGCUACCUUGUGGUAGGGAACAACAGUUGGAAACGACUGCUAAUACCCUAUGAGCCCUAUGGGGGAAAGAUUUAUCGCCAUGAGAUGUGCCCGCGUUAGAUUAGCUAGUUGGUAAGGUAAUGGCUUACCAAGGCGACGAUCUAUAGCUGGUCUGAGAGGAUGAUCAGCCACACUGGGACUGAGACACGGCCCAGACUCCUACGGGAGGCAGCAGUGGGGAAUAUUGGACAAUGGGGGCAACCCUGAUCCAGCCAUGCCGCGUGAGUGAUGACGGCCUUAGGGUUGUAAAGCUCUUUCAGCAGUGAAGAUAAUGACAUUAACUGCAGAAGAAGCCCCGGCUAACUUCGUGCCAGCAGCCGCGGUAAUACGAAAGGGGCUAGCGUUGUUCGGAAUCACUGGGCGUAAAGCGUACGUAGGCGGACUGAUCAGUCAGGGGUGAAAUCCCGGGGCUCAACCCCGGAACUGCCUUUGAUACUGUCAGUCUUGAGAUCGAGAGAGGUGAGUGGAACUCCGAGUGUAGAGGUGAAAUUCGUAGAUAUUCGGAAGACACCAGUGGCGAAGGCGGCUCACUGGCUC
This 633-nucleotide ribosomal RNA is filed under the name alpha proteobacterium JE019. Its description in RNAcentral is "bacterial SSU rRNA". It matches the Rfam family "Bacterial small subunit ribosomal RNA", at positions 55 to 735 of the family's 1533-position model. Lineage: Bacteria; Pseudomonadati; Pseudomonadota; Alphaproteobacteria. The record is from RNAcentral.